Long non-coding RNA from Mustela erminea (ermine), 2603 nucleotides. RefSeq lists it as uncharacterized. The record is from RefSeq and is a predicted model, not a curated record. The transcript has 4 exons. NCBI's taxonomy places the organism in Eukaryota, Metazoa, Chordata, Mammalia, Carnivora, Mustelidae.
UCCACGCAUCGACCUGGUAUUGCAGUACUUCCAGGAACGGUGCACCUUCCCCACGAAAUUGGUGAAAAAAAGAGGUGUUUAAUAUGGUACCUUCUGUCCCCUUACCACAUCCUUGGUGCCACCUGUGCCUCCGAACGUAGCUGGCAGAAAGUGUACCCACCGGGCUCAUGUGGCUCGCCCCAGCUCUCCGUAGGCCAGGGAAAACUAGGCACCGUCAACGUUCCCUACCGGCCAUCAAGAUGCCCUUACAGGAAAGGUUCUCCACGUCUAAAUACCUGCAUCCUGGGACACGUUCCAAGUGACCUGCCAGGGUGACUGCUCAUCGGCUGUCCCACCCGGCCGGCCUGUGGGAUACUGCGUCUGGCCCUCCGACCCAUCCCGAGCAGGUCUGGCUCACACUCCUUCCGGUUCUCCUUGCGCUUGCCUUGUCAAAAUGUUAACAGUCGAAGACAUUUUUUGGUGACCCUUGCUGAACUGCAGAUUCGGGAGUCAGAGAACAUUCAUCGGGGAUAGCGUCAUUUGCAGACCUGCGGUGGGAGCUGUCCCUCCGCGAAUGGGUCUCACCGACCCGGGUUCCUCUGGCCGUGUUCUCCACUGCAUUCCACAAAGGCAACGUGGAGCCCGCGGGGAUGGGGUCUCCCAUUCUGGGGGGUCUGCCUUCAGGAAGGAGGACUGGGUACUUCUUUGUUACGGCAAAGAGAAAACGGGAGGACGGUGGGUGCGGCGGCACGACCUGUUCCGAGACCGCGGCGUCCCUCUCCCCUCUGGGAGAUUCCUUCCUUCCUCCAUUUGCAGGUCCUUGUAGACGUUUUGGUCGUAGCCGCGGAGGGAGGAAUAAGGGCAGGCAGGCGGGCAGAAAUAACGCCUGGGCUGACGACCCAGCAGACGGUGUCCGGACGCAGGGAGAGUAAGGUCGCUGAGACCCCGCGGCGUGUCUCCGGUUUUGAGAGAAGGAAAAGCGGCCGCGGAGGCCGGCCCCGCCGCUCACAGCUAGGCCGGGGUGGUCUCCGGUGGGCCGUGGACAGUUUCCCGCGAGGGCGGCCGCCUUAGAAAGAGAACAGCCAGUGAUUUUACUGGCCAGAUGAGUCUGUUCGGGGAUGGCGGAGGCCUCGCAGUCAGGCACGUGCAAGCUUCGGGGAGCCACCAGCAAGUCUGAGGAGGCAAAGGGGAGGUCACGUUUUUUGGUUUGUUUGGUUUUUGUCCGUCCUUCCUUCCUUCCUUCCGUCGUCACUGGAAAGUCAGCUUCGAUUUCGAUUCACGGAGGAUAUUGGGAAUGGAGGCUUGCUUUGAACACAAGUUCCGGGGAGAAGAGCGAGCCUUUGAGGUUGUGGCGGUUUCCCAUUCAAAGGCGGGCGGUGGUUAGUGCUUGCUGCUGGGGCAAGAGGGGCUCUAGCCUCCUUUUCCUUACCGGCAAGCGAUGCCCUCCCUGCUCCAGAAGGUUCUCCCUUGUCAGAAUAAUGUUUAUCUUCCUUCCUGCUGGUUAGGCAGGAGUGCUGUGGGCUUGAGAGCUCCCCUUCCCCAGGCCUUCCCGAGUCCAGCCUCAGCGAGAUGUCCUUCCUUUGCGACAUCAGCGUGGGGCCGGGCCGCUCUGGGACCGUGGCGAGUCAAGACAGGAGCGAGGCCCACCCGGUGGUGGGUCACGUGGGAACGGAGACAACAAAGAAGAACGUUGUCCGAACAACAGAAUGGACCAAACACGUCCCCGUACCCUGUCUAACGGGAGUAACUGCUGCGGGACGGACGGGCAGCUUUGGCUUGGCUCUGGUUUUCCUUUCUCCUGGCUGGCGACGAGGCCCCUUCACUGCGGGAACUUCAAGCCGGCGGAGGAGCCUUCCCACUUCGGGAGAUCUCCACACGCAGUCUCCCUUGGAUUCAGCUGCCUCUGCCUUUUGUAACUCCCGCUCCCUGUACGAGCCCGGACUGACCAACGCUGAGCCAGAGGUAGGGACGUCUCUAUGCCCCCGUCCAGCAGGAAGAAGUCCCAGAAGAUGAGACCUUCCGCCCUCAGAACCGUAAAGAUUUAUGGGUCUAAACUGUUCACGGGGGGGGGGGGGGGGGGGGGGGAGUGAUGUGGGAAACAAAGGCAGAAGAAGAAUUAUUAAAGUUCCCUACUACCUGUAGCCCGUUGGCAAGUCCCUGAAACAGGCAGAGUGACAUUCCCCUAGGGACUCACUGGCCUCGAUGUUAAUCGAUGUUAAUCUGCCCUUUUGGUAAGGGCAGAAGGCAACCCUCGCCUGAAACCCUCCCCACACCCACCAGGAUCCUGUAAGUCUACUUUAACCCAUAAAGGGCCCUUUAUUUCUAAACCCCGCAAGGUUCGUGUUGGCAGUCAUCCCCCAAGCAUAUGGCCCACCGAUGUACAUCGGAAGGGUCUCACCCCGAGGGUUUUGCUAGACGGUAAUAGGUAAUGACAACAACAGCUCAGCCCCCUGGAGGCCCUGGAAACCUGGCUUCCAAAAUUCCUAGGAGACUUAACGCUCUCCGUGACCCCCUCCCAACUUGGAAGUAUGUUAAUGGGGACACCUCCCCGGGACCCCGCUGGGGCUCUUUCUGCCCAGGGGCCCUGUCCCCGUGCUUUAAUAAAACCACCCUUUGGCACGGAA